CAGCAGCCACGGGAAUACAGAGGGUGCGAGCGUUAAUCGGAUUUACUGGGCGUAAAGCGUGCGUAGGCGGCUUUUUAAGUCGGAUGUGAAAUCCCUGAGCUUAACUUAGGAAUUGCAUUCGAUACUGGGAAGCUAGAGUAUGGGAGAGGAUGGUAGAAUUCCAGGUGUAGCGGUGAAAUGCGUAGAGAUCUGGAGGAAUACCGAUGGCGAAGGCAGCCAUCUGGCCUAAUACUGACGCUGAGGUACGAAAGCAUGGGGAGCAAACAGGAUUAGAGACCCGCGUAGUCCCUGUCUCUUAUAC
RNAcentral lists this ribosomal RNA (301 nucleotides) under uncultured bacterium. RNAcentral describes it as "partial 16S ribosomal RNA". It matches the Rfam family "Bacterial small subunit ribosomal RNA", at positions 509 to 807 of the family's 1533-position model. The record is from RNAcentral.